ACUACGGGCGGCUGCAGUGGGGAAUAUUGCACAAUGGGGGAAACCCUGAUGCAGCGACGCCGCGUGAGUGAAGAAGUAUUUCGGUAUGUAAAGCUCUAUCAGCAGGGAAGAAAAUGACGGUACCUGAUUAAGAAGCCCCGGCUAACUACGUGCCAGCAGCCGCGGUUAUACGUAGGGGGCAAGCGUUAUCCGGAUUUACUGGGUGUAAAGGGAGCGUAGACGGCAGCACAAGUCUGGAGUGAAAUGCCGGGGCUUAACCCCGGAACUGCUUUGGAAACUGUGCAGCUAGAGUGCAGGAGAGGUAAGUGGAAUGCCUAGUGUAGCGGUGAAAUGCGUAGAUAUUAGGAGGAACACCAGUGGCGAAGGCGGCUUACUGGACUGUAACUGACGUUGAGGCUCGAAAGCGUGGGGAGCAAACAGGAUUAGAUACCCCUGUAGUC
RNAcentral lists this ribosomal RNA (440 nucleotides) under uncultured bacterium. RNAcentral's name for it is "partial 16S ribosomal RNA". It matches the Rfam family "Bacterial small subunit ribosomal RNA", at positions 338 to 795 of the family's 1533-position model. The record is from RNAcentral.